Molecule: ribosomal RNA, 400 nt
Filed under: uncultured bacterium
Lineage: Bacteria
Description: bacterial SSU rRNA
Rfam family: Bacterial small subunit ribosomal RNA
Source: RNAcentral
GGUGAAGAAGGCCUUCGGGUUGUAAAGCCCUUUUGUUGGGAAAGAAAUCUUGCCGGUUAAUACCCGGGGAGGAUGACGGUACCCAAAGAAUAAGCACCGGGUAAAUUUGUGCCAGCAGCCGCGGUAAUACGAAGGGUGCAAGCGUUACUCUGAAUUACUGGGCGUAAAGCGUGCGUAGGUGGUGGUUUAAGUCUGCUGUGAAAGCCCUGGGCUCAACCUGGGAAUUGCAGUGGAUAAUGGGUCAGUAGAGUGUGGUAGAGGGAUGCGGAAUUUUCGGUGUAGCAGUGAAAUGCGUAGAGAUCGGAAGGAACAUCCGUGGCGAAGGCGGCAUCCUGGGCCAACACUGACACUGAGGCACGAAAGCGUGGGGAGCAAACAGGAUUAGAUACCCCGGUAGUCC